RNAcentral lists this ribosomal RNA (450 nucleotides) under Staphylococcus aureus. RNAcentral describes it as "partial 23S ribosomal RNA". It matches the Rfam family "Bacterial large subunit ribosomal RNA", at positions 2453 to 2904 of the family's 2925-position model. The record is from RNAcentral. Lineage: Bacteria; Bacillati; Bacillota; Bacilli; Caryophanales; Staphylococcaceae.
CGGAUAAAAGCUACCCCGGGGAUAACAGGCUUAUCUCCCCCAAGAGUUCACAUCGACGGGGAGGUUUGGCACCUCGAUGUCGGCUCAUCGCAUCCUGGGGCUGUAGUCGGUCCCAAGGGUUGGGCUGUUCGCCCAUUAAAGCGGUACGCGAGCUGGGUUCAGAACGUCGUGAGACAGUUCGGUCCCUAUCCGUCGUGGGCGUAGGAAAUUUGAGAGGAGCUGUCCUUAGUACGAGAGGACCGGGAUGGACAUACCUCUGGUGUACCAGUUGUCGUGCCAACGGCAUAGCUGGGUAGCUAUGUGUGGACGGGAUAAGUGCUGAAAGCAUCUAAGCAUGAAGCCCCCCUCAAGAUGAGAUUUCCCAACUUCGGUUAUAAGAUCCCUCAAAGAUGAUGAGGUUAAUAGGUUCGAGGUGGAAGCAUGGUGACAUGUGGAGCUGACGAAUACUAA